CCGCACAAGCGGUGAGCAUGUGGUUUAAUCGAUGAUACGCGAGGAACCUUACCUGGGCUCAAAUGUAUGUUGACGUAUUCUGAAAGGGAUACUUCUUCGGACAAUAUACAAGGUGCUGCAUGGUUGUCGUCAGCUCGUGCCGUGAGGUGUCGGGUUAAGUCCCAUAACGAGCGCAACCCUAUCAUUAGUUGCCAUCAGGUCAAGCUGGGGACUCUAAUGAAACUGCCUACGCAAGUAGUGAGGAAGGUGGGGAUGACGUCAAAUCAGCACGGCCCUUACGUCCAGGGCUACACACGUGCUACAAUGGCCGGUACAAAGGGCAGCUACCUGGUGACAGGAUGCUAAUCUCAAAAGCCGGUCUCAGUUCGGAUCGGAGUCUGCAACCCGACUCCGUGAAGCUGGAAUCGCUAGUAAUCGUAGAUCAGCAAUGCUACGGUGAAUACGUUCCCGGGCCUU
Molecule: ribosomal RNA, 456 nt
Filed under: uncultured Sphingobacteriales bacterium
Lineage: Bacteria; Pseudomonadati; Bacteroidota; Sphingobacteriia; Sphingobacteriales
Description: bacterial SSU rRNA
Rfam family: Bacterial small subunit ribosomal RNA
Source: RNAcentral